UUUGUACUCCAAUGUUGCGGCAAAUCGAUAAAGUAGAAAUCACCGCAUACGUUAAUUCAUAUCAAUUCAUAAAAUUGAGUAGUGGAGAAAAAGAGAGAAGGACUUUUAAUAGGACAAAGAAAGUGUUAAGCAAACGAUUAUUAUUUUAAACUAAAA
This 156-nucleotide unclassified non-coding RNA is filed under the name Pogonomyrmex barbatus (red harvester ant). Its description in RNAcentral is "uncharacterized LOC112552814, transcript variant X1". Lineage: Eukaryota; Metazoa; Arthropoda; Insecta; Hymenoptera; Formicidae. The record is from RNAcentral.